ACGCGAAGAACCUUACCACCUUUUGACAUGCCCGGACCGCCAGAGAGAUCUGGCUUUCCCUUCGGGGACUGGGACACAGGUGCUGCAUGGCUGUCGUCAGCUCGUGUCGUGAGAUGUUGGGUUAAGUCCCGCAACGAGCGCAACCCUCGCCAUUAGUUGCCAUCAUUUAGUUGGGAACUCUAAUGGGACUGCCGGUGCUAAGCCGGAGGAAGGUGGUGAUGACGUCAAGUCCUCAUGGCCCUUACAGGGU
Molecule: ribosomal RNA, 250 nt
Filed under: uncultured bacterium
Lineage: Bacteria
Description: partial 16S ribosomal RNA
Rfam family: Bacterial small subunit ribosomal RNA
Source: RNAcentral